GGCUCGAGGACGAACGCUGGCGGCGUGCUUAACACAUGCAAAGUCGAACGAGAAUCUAAUGAUGGAGUUUCGGACAACUGAUUUAGAGGACAGUGGCGGACUGGUGAGUAACGCGUGAGGAACCUGCCUUUCAGAGGGGGACAACAGUUGGAAACGACUGCUAAUACCGCAUGACACAUCGAUGGGGCAUCCCGUUGAUGUCAAAGAUUUAUCGCUGAAAGAUGGCCUCGCGUCUGAUUAGAUAGUUGGCGGGGUAACGGCCCACCAAGUCGACGAUCAGUAGCCGGACUGAGAGGUUGACCGGCCACAUUGGGACUGAGAUACGGCCCAGACUCCUACGGGAGGCAGCAGUGGGGAAUAUUGGGCAAUGGACGCAAGUCUGACCCAGCAACGCCGCGUGAAGGAAGAAGGCUUUCGGGUUGUAAACUUCUUUUAAGGGGGAAGAGCAGAAGACGGUACCCCUUGAAUAAGCCACGGCUAACUACGUG
RNAcentral lists this ribosomal RNA (488 nucleotides) under uncultured bacterium. Its description in RNAcentral is "bacterial SSU rRNA". It matches the Rfam family "Bacterial small subunit ribosomal RNA", at positions 26 to 507 of the family's 1533-position model. The record is from RNAcentral.